CAGGCCGGAAAUGUCGCUGCAAAUUCAACCAGAAUCAAAGAACCGGGGAGCCCAUUGAAGAGGAGGGAUCGUUCCGCGCCUCCAUCAGACGUAUGUCCAGCAGGAGGGUAUAGCUCUGAAUAGACGGAGAG
Molecule: long non-coding RNA, 131 nt
Organism: Nanorana parkeri
Lineage: Eukaryota; Metazoa; Chordata; Amphibia; Anura; Dicroglossidae
Exons: 3
Source: RefSeq, a predicted model, not a curated record